Molecule: ribosomal RNA, 1563 nt
Filed under: Lactiplantibacillus plantarum
Lineage: Bacteria; Bacillati; Bacillota; Bacilli; Lactobacillales; Lactobacillaceae
Description: partial 16S ribosomal RNA
Rfam family: Bacterial small subunit ribosomal RNA
Source: RNAcentral
UUUGAGAGUUUGAUCCUGGCUCAGGACGAACGCUGGCGGCGUGCCUAAUACAUGCAAGUCGAACGAACUCUGGUAUUGAUUGGUGCUUGCAUCAUGAUUUACAUUUGAGUGAGUGGCGAACUGGUGAGUAACACGUGGGAAACCUGCCCAGAAGCGGGGGAUAACACCUGGAAACAGAUGCUAAUACCGCAUAACAACUUGGACCGCAUGGUCCGAGCUUGAAAGAUGGCUUCGGCUAUCACUUUUGGAUGGUCCCGCGGCGUAUUAGCUAGAUGGUGGGGUAACGGCUCACCAUGGCAAUGAUACGUAGCCGACCUGAGAGGGUAAUCGGCCACAUUGGGACUGAGACACGGCCCAAACUCCUACGGGAGGCAGCAGUAGGGAAUCUUCCACAAUGGACGAAAGUCUGAUGGAGCAACGCCGCGUGAGUGAAGAAGGGUUUCGGCUCGUAAAACUCUGUUGUUAAAGAAGAACAUAUCUGAGAGUAACUGUUCAGGUAUUGACGGUAUUUAACCAGAAAGCCACGGCUAACUACGUGCCAGCAGCCGCGGUAAUACGUAGGUGGCAAGCGUUGUCCGGAUUUAUUGGGCGUAAAGCGAGCGCAGGCGGUUUUUUAAGUCUGAUGUGAAAGCCUUCGGCUCAACCGAAGAAGUGCAUCGGAAACUGGGAAACUUGAGUGCAGAAGAGGACAGUGGAACUCCAUGUGUAGCGGUGAAAUGCGUAGAUAUAUGGAAGAACACCAGUGGCGAAGGCGGCUGUCUGGUCUGUAACUGACGCUGAGGCUCGAAAGUAUGGGUAGCAAACAGGAUUAGAUACCCUGGUAGUCCAUACCGUAAACGAUGAAUGCUAAGUGUUGGAGGGUUUCCGCCCUUCAGUGCUGCAGCUAACGCAUUAAGCAUUCCGCCUGGGGAGUACGGCCGCAAGGGUGAAACUCAAAGGAAUUGACGGGGGCCCGCACAAGCGGUGGAGCAUGUGGUUUAAUUCGAAGCUACGCGAAGAACCUUACCAGGUCUUGACAUACUAUGCAAAUCUAAGAGAUUAGACGUUCCCUUCGGGGACAUGGAUACAGGUGGUGCAUGGUUGUCGUCAGCUCGUGUCGUGAGAUGUUGGGUUAAGUCCCGCAACGAGCGCAACCCUUAUUAUCAGUUGCCAGCAUUAAGUUGGGCACUCUGGUGAGACUGCCGGUGACAAACCGGAGGAAGGUGGGGAUGACGUCAAAUCAUCAUGCCCCUUAUGACCUGGGCUACACACGUGCUACAAUGGAUGGUACAACGAGUUGCGAACUCGCGAGAGUAAGCUAAUCUCUUAAAGCCAUUCUCAGUUCGGAUUGUAGGCUGCAACUCGCCUACAUGAAGUCGGAAUCGCUAGUAAUCGCGGAUCAGCAUGCCGCGGUGAAUACGUUCCCGGGCCUUGUACACACCGCCCGUCACACCAUGAGAGUUUGUAACACCCAAAGUCGGUGGGGUAACCUUUUAGGAACCAGCCGCCUAAGGUGGGACAGAUGAUUAGGGUGAAGUCGUAACAAGGUAGCCGUAGGAGAACCUGCGGCUGGAUCACCUCCUU